RNAcentral lists this ribosomal RNA (440 nucleotides) under uncultured bacterium. RNAcentral's name for it is "partial 16S ribosomal RNA". It matches the Rfam family "Bacterial small subunit ribosomal RNA", at positions 338 to 795 of the family's 1533-position model. The record is from RNAcentral.
CCUACGGGCGGCAGCAGUGGGGAAUAUUGCACAAUGGGGGAAACCCUGAUGGAGCGACGCCGCGUGAACGAAGCAGUAAUUCGUUAUGUAAAGCUCUAUCAGCAGGGAAGAAAGUGACGUUACAUGAGCAAGAAGGCAUGGCCAACUACGUACCAGCAGCCGCAGUAAGACGGAAGGGGGAAGGGUUAUCCGGUAUUACGGGGUGUAAAGGGAUAGUAGUGCGUAGUGCAAGUCUGGAGUGAAUGGAGUGGGUUCAACCCCCGUACGGGUCUGGAAACUGUACGGCUGGAGUGCAGGAGAGGUAAGUGGAAUUCCUAGUGUAGCGGUGAAAUGCGUAGAUAUUAGGAAGAACCCCAGUGGCGAAGGCGGCUUACUGGACUGUAACUGACGUUGAGGCGCGAAAGCGUGGGGAGCAAACAGGAUUAGAUACCCCAGUAGUC